This is a long non-coding RNA of Lolium rigidum, 1834 nucleotides long. RefSeq lists it as uncharacterized. The transcript is spliced from 5 exons. Lineage: Eukaryota; Viridiplantae; Streptophyta; Magnoliopsida; Poales; Poaceae. The record is from RefSeq and is a predicted model, not a curated record.
CCUGCCCUCCUUCCACCUCCAUGGCCUCGCCGCGAUCGGGGGAGGUGAGGGUGGAGAGCACCUUGGCGUUGCUCUUGAGUUCGGCCUGCUGCUGCAGGGAGGUGGGGUUGGUCCGACAGCACACGACCGCUAAAGGUGAGGCUGAUGCCUUCGGGCUGCAAGCCCUCCGUCGGCGCCCCGACCAGGUGAAUCCGCUCCGCCGGUUGGGAGGUCGCUCCCCAUGGCCGCUCCUUGCAGUCCAUGCUCACUAUCUUUCUAUUUUUCACUCUUCCCAUCCAUCUUCCCCAUGGAAAACUCGGGUAAUCUGUCCCUGGCCGAGGACUGUCUCUGUCGACCUCCUCCUGCCCAGACCCACCAACAUGUCAAUCAUCUUCCCCUAGCUGAGCCGUACCUCCAUCGAUUUCCCCUUGCCAUGAGCCGAGCUGUAGCCUGUCCCGAAAAUUCUUCCCUGCCCGAGCCUUCCCUAGCCGAACUCCUCCGUGGCUGGCGGGAGACGACGACCAAGGUGGAGUGCGGCGGCUACUUCAUCCCAUGAGCCAUGACCGGCCACUCCGUUCACCCUCCCAAACUGCAGAUUUCAGGAUAGAACUGGAACACCAUCUUCAAGCACUGGUUUAUCUUUGUUAAACCAGACCAGCAAUCCAAAUAGCCUUGCUCAAAGAUGCGUCAAAUCAGACACAAUGAUGAAAGCUUCUUGUGUGUUUAGGCCAAAUAUGGGAAAACAGAAAUCCAGAUUUUGGUGAGAAACCAUGGAAGGCUCUGUGCCAAACAACCGUACGUAUAGACCAAUUUAAGAAGAACUGAAAGGAUGAUCCAUCUGCACAUUUGAACAAUUCAUAGUCAUGGAUGAACAGGACAUAUACAAAUCAGCAGAACAUCAGCACAUAAUUAGAUUCACCCAGCGAGCAAAGGUUCACCAAGUCAUACUUCCUCCAGAACUACUGAAGCAUCCAUCUCACUGCAAUUCUACAGGCUGGCCAACUUGCAACAAGCAGCCGCUGCCCGCUAGCAGCUCCAUGGUCCCAGUUACAUCAUCCUCUCCUUCAGCUAGGAGCCUUGACUUGACACAGUCAGCCUUGACAUCCAGCAGUGCGUCCCGCUAUGAAUUUAGUUCACCAAUCUGAGGCAAGUUCAAGACAUAUUUUAUGGCUGUUCUACUUCUCUCAUGUGACUACCUGGAACAGACUGGAUCAUAGUAUCCUUACUGAAUAAACAAGGCGUCUAUGGAAGGCCAUGGUGUUUCCAUUCACUUAAAGGGUUCGAGUGCUUUGCAAGGGUUAAUAGCCAACCAUUUUAAUUUGUUGCAUUACAUAAGAUGUAAGUCUUUGUCAGGAACCACAUGGAACUGCUAUAUGCCUUGAAACGUUCAGCCAUUGGCUGCUUCUUUCCAUGGCUUUGCUAAGCAUCAGGUCCGCAAAAAAAUUGAGUAAGGCUAAGCAUCGUUUAUCAACAAAGAGGAACUAAAGGACGGUAUGGAAGUAUCCUUAUCCUUAGUGAGAGGUCUACCCCCCCCUGAGGAUAUCAAUGAAAGAUCAUUGUACGUGUUGCUUGCAUUUGGGAAUAAAGAUAUCAAACAACUUCACGGAACUAUAUGAACUAGAUUUCAUUGUCAUCGACUAUGAGGGUGGUUGCAGUUGCCCGAUCUUUGAUGUAUCUGUGCAAGCUGACGCAUUCCCAACUGCUUUAGCACUUCCUUUAAGUCAUGUAAUGCUUAGUUCCAGCCAGAAACUUUUGGUUGCAGGGCAGUGUUAUGUUUUUCUUUUGAUGCAGCUGUAUUUCGUUUAGACUGUAUUAUGAGCUACCAACCAUAUAUUAAAUUGCAAUGUGCUACUUU